Molecule: ribosomal RNA, 440 nt
Filed under: uncultured bacterium
Lineage: Bacteria
Description: partial 16S ribosomal RNA
Rfam family: Bacterial small subunit ribosomal RNA
Source: RNAcentral
CCUACGGGAGGCAGCAGUAGGGAAUAUUGCACAAUGGGGGAAACCCUGAAGCAGCAACGCCGCGUGGAGGAUGAAGGUUUUCGGAUUGUAAACUCCUUUUGUUAGAGAAGAAAAUGACGGUAUCUAACGGAUAAGCACCGGCUAACUCCGUGCCAGCAGGCGAGGUAAUACGGAGGGUGCAAGCGUUACUCGGAAUCACUGGGCGUAAAGGGCGCGUAGGCGGGAUAGCAAGGCAGAUGUGAAAUCCUAUGGCUUAACCAUAGAACUGCAUUUGAAACUGGUAUUCUAGAGUAUGGGAGAGGUAGGUGGAAUUCUUGGUGUAGGGGUAAAAUCCGUAGAGAUCAAGAGGAAUACUCAUUGCGAAGGCGACCUGCUAGAACAUAACUGACGCUGAUGCGCGAAAGCGUGGGGAGCAAACAGGAUUAGAUACCCGGGUAGUC